ACCAAGGAACCAUAAGGUACUACACGUGAGCUCAAAACAUAAAUUUUGCAUUAGUUUUGAUUUUUGAGGCAUCACAACAUACCAGUCGGGACGCAAAAGAUGGUAAACUAUGCCUGAGAGAGGCAAAGCUAAGACAAAACUCUGGUGGAGGCCUACAAUGAUACUGAUAUGCAAAUCAUUCAUCUAACUUAGGUAUAGGGGUUAAAGACUAAUCGAAUCGUCUAGUAGCUGGUUCUCUCUAAAGUUUCCCUCAGUAUAGCUAGAGCUCGUGUGCGACUUGUAUCGAGUAAAGACAAUAAUUAAAGUCCUCAAGGGUGAAACACCAUCAAACUAUUCUAAAACUUUUAAUAGGUAGGAUAACGCGGCUACUUUAUAUAGCCAUUCCUCAAAAUCAAGAGCUCCAAGUGGGCUAUUUUUGGUAAGCAGAACUGGCAAUGCAGGAUGAAUCGAAAGAUGGGUUAUGGUGCCAAACUACAUAGUAAUCUACAUCCCAUAAAGAGUGUUGGUCGAUUAAGAUUGAAAGCAUGUGCUCAUUGAAAUUGAAACUUGCUAAGGAGUAUGUAACUACACACCUAUUGAAUUAACAAGCCUCAAAAAUGGAUGACACUUAACUGUGCGAGCUACACCUGACCGUCGACGCUAGUGCCAAGCCCCGAUGAGUAGGAGGGCACGACAGUCACUCUAAAAGCUUAGGAGUGAGCCUGGGUGGAUUGAUCAUUGGUGCAUUUCUUGGUGGUAGUAGCAAAUAUUCAAAUGAGAACUUUGAAUUAUGGAGAGGGGAAAGGUUCUACAUGAAUGGCACUUGCACUUGGGUUAGUCGAUCCUAAGGGUUGGGGAUCCUCUAAAAGAUAGCGCGUGCUUCAAAAGGUAAUUGGGUAAAAAUUCCUGAACCAAGAUAUGGUACUCGACAGCAAUAUUAGAAAGUCUGGAGAUAUUGGCGAGAGUCUGGGGAAUAGUUAUCUUUUCUAUUUAAUAGCCUGCCCAUCCUGGUAUCAGCUCAGUUGGAGGUAGGGUCCAGUGGCUGGAAGAGCACCGCUCAUUGCGUGGUGUUCGGUGUGCUCCUAGCAACCCUUGAAAAUCUACAGGACCAAAUACCUUCCAUACCUUAUCAUACUCAUAACCGCAUCAGGUCUCCAAGGUGAACAAUCUCUGGUC
Molecule: non-coding RNA, 1155 nt
Filed under: Capsicum annuum
Lineage: Eukaryota; Viridiplantae; Streptophyta; Magnoliopsida; Solanales; Solanaceae
Description: Eukaryotic large subunit ribosomal RNA
Rfam family: Eukaryotic large subunit ribosomal RNA
Source: Rfam by way of RNAcentral